UCACUUGUCUGUAAUAUGUAUGUGGCAAGUGUUGUCCGUAGUUAUUUUAUGUUUCGGGCUCUUAUUCGUUUCUUAUGUCUGAUGUGAAAAUACUCGGCUCAACCGGGGAGGGUCAUUUGAAACUGGGGAAUUUUUGUCAGAAGAGGAGACCGGAAUUCCACGUGUAGCGGUGAAAUGUGUAGAGAUGUUGAGGAACACCAGUGGCGAAGGCGACUUUUUGGUCUGUAACUGACGCUGAGGAGCGAAAGCGUGGGGAGCGAACAGGAUUAGAUACCCCGGUAGUCCACGCCGUAAACGAUGAGUGAUAAGUGUUAGGGGGUUUCCGCCCCUUAGUGUUGCAGCUAUACGGCGCAUCA
Molecule: ribosomal RNA, 356 nt
Filed under: Bacillus subtilis
Lineage: Bacteria; Bacillati; Bacillota; Bacilli; Caryophanales; Bacillaceae
Description: bacterial SSU rRNA
Rfam family: Bacterial small subunit ribosomal RNA
Source: RNAcentral